Molecule: ribosomal RNA, 381 nt
Filed under: Bacillus velezensis
Lineage: Bacteria; Bacillati; Bacillota; Bacilli; Caryophanales; Bacillaceae
Description: bacterial SSU rRNA
Rfam family: Bacterial small subunit ribosomal RNA
Source: RNAcentral
GGGAGCUUGCUCCCUGAUGUUAGCGGCGGACGGGUGAGUAACACGUGGGUAACCUGCCUGUAAGACUGGGAUAACUCCGGGAAACCGGGGCUAAUACCGGAUGGUUGUUUGAACCGCAUGGUUCAGACAUAAAAGGUGGCUUCGGCUACCACUUACAGAUGGACCCGCGGCGCAUUAGCUAGUUGGUGAGGUAACGGCUCACCAAGGCGACGAUGCGUAGCCGACCUGAGAGGGUGAUCGGCCACACUGGGACUGAGACACGGCCCAGACUCCUACGGGAGGCAGCAGUAGGGAAUCUUCCGCAAUGGACGAAAGUCUGACGGAGCAACGCCGCGUGAGUGAUGAAGGUUUUCGGAUCGCAAAGCUCUGUUGUUAGGGAAG